AAAACUGCUGCUGUUUUUUACCCUGCCACAGGCCAUUCAUUCUUUUCUUCCCUUUCCCUUCACUGACAGCCCUUGAGCACUGUAGUGUCGAGCAGGUGGUCCUGGAAGGGGCAGGGGACCUAGAAAGUGAGGGGUGAUGCCUUUCCUCCUCUCAGAAGGAUCAGUUCUUCACACUCAAAGGAGCAUGUAGAUUUCAAGGCCACCCCUUGAUCUGUAAAGCUCAAGCGUCACCUCUGCGCUGAAGCUCCUGUCCUGUCCACCUCCUGUCCUUGGGACUCCCACUGCACCAUUCACACUCCAUUCGUAGUCUGAUGCUUGCUUUUCUAUGGUCUUUUGUGGUUUGUGAUGUUUUCCUGGGUGCUGGUCUGGUUUCCUCACCAAGACCACAGGCUUCUCAAAGGUAGGUACUGUGGCUUCCACUUCAUGUGUGACCCUGCAGGGCUCAGCCCAAGUGCAAAAGUGCAGAGCAUUAAAGGGGUGCUCGGUGAAAGCUGGUUGGUGGAUUGAUGGAAAGUGGAUUAGGUUUGUUUGUUUUUUCUGGUUGUUUUGUUUGUUUGUUUUGAAGACAGUCUUGCUCUGACACCCAGGCCAGAGUGCAGUGGUGCGAUCUUGGCUCACUGCAACCUCCACCUCCCCGUUGAAGCAAUUCUCCUGCCUCAACCUCCUGAAUAGCUGGGAUUACAGGUGCAUGCCACCAUGGCCAGCUAAUUUUUGUAUUUUUUUGUUUUUUUUUGAGACAGAGUUUCGCUCUUGUUACCCAGGCUGGAGUGCAAUGGCGCGAUCUCGGCUCACGGCAACCUCCGCCUCCUGGGUUCAGGCAAUUCUCCUGCCUCAGCCUCCUGAGUAGCUGGGAUUACAGGCACGCACCACCGUGCCCAGCUAAUUUUUUGUGUAUUUUUUAGUAGAGACGGGGUUUCACCAUGUUGACCAGGAUGGUCUCGAUCUCUUGACUUUGUGAUCUACCCGCCUCAGCCUCCCAAAGUGCUGGGAUUACAGGCUUGAGCCACCGCACCUGGCCAAUUUUUGUAUUUUUAAUAGAGAUGGGGUUUUGCCAUGUUGGCCAGGCUAGUCUUGAACUCUUGCCCUUAUGUGAUCUGCCCUCCUCAGCCUCCCAAAGUGCUGGGAUUACAGGCAUGAGGCACUGCACUCCGCUGGGUUAGGUUAUAUAAGACCAAAAAGUCUGGAUGAUCACCUCCCUCCUGUAGUCUGUUAAGAACAAGCCCUCUGGAAUAGUAUUCAAUCAUAAAAAAGAAUGAAAUAAAAUUUUUUUAAAAAAAGAAUGAAAUCCUAUAAUUCCCAGCAACAUGGAUGAAGCUACAGAAUGUUAUGAAAUAAGGCAGGACCAGAAAGUUGAACACCACAUGUUCUUAUUCAUGUGUGAAAGCUUAAAAAGCUGAUCUCAAAGAAGUAAAAAGUAGAACAGAGUAUAAUAAAGGCUGGGAAAGGUAGGGGGAAAGGAGGGAUAGGGAGAGAUUUGUUGAAAGGUACAAAAUUAUAGCUAGCUAGGAGGACUAAGUUUUGGUGUUCAAUACCACUGCAGGAUGACUUAGUUAACAGUACACAUUAUAUAGCUUCAAAUAGCUAGAAGGAGGAUAUUGAAUGUUCCCAACACAAAGAAAUGAUAAAUGUGCGAGAUGUGGACAUGCUGAUUACCCUGAUCUGAUCACCAUUUAUUAUAUGUAUAGAAGCAUCAUCAUAUACUCGUGAAUAUGUACAAUUGUUAUUUGUGAAUUAAAAAAUAAAAUAAAAAACCAACCAAACCAAACAAAACCAGAAGAGUGAGCCGGAGGUGGAGAGCUGGUCUACAGGCGCCCGUGUCUCUUCCACCCAGCGCUUGCUCCUCAUCGUCUAUAGAGCCGACCAGACACAAGAAUUCCACGCUGGACUUUUCUUGCAGAUGACCAUUUAAAUAAUCCACUUUCCAGGUCCUCCUCCAGGCUCGUGGGAAUCCAUCAUUAUACAGGUUUUGGUAUCAGGAUGAUGUUGGCCUCUUUCUCUUACCCUCCUGGAGUAAAGAGAUACCCAUGAGGAUGCCUGAUCCAAUUCUCUGAGGCCCUCCUCGUCCACACUUGGUUAUGUGAACUCCCCUGGGCCUCAUGCCCAGCAUCAGACCCUGCCUUCCUCCUGCUGCAGACCCCACUUUCUCCUCUCUCCCUGGCAUCCUCAGACUCAGUCCCACGGGUUCCUGCAUCAGCUGGUGAUAAGGAGGAGCAGGCUGGGGUGAGACUGGGAUUAGAGCUUCUCUGUGAACCACCUGCACCCCCAGCCCUUCAGGAAGCUUGUGAAAAAUGUGAUUCCUGCGCCCCACCAAGACCCGCCAAAACCAUCUCUGGGGCUUGGCACAGGACUCUGAAUUUCUAACAGUGCCCAGUGAUUGUUGCACUUGAGUUUGAGGGCCAGUGAGCCUGAUGAAUGCUCAGACCCCUCUAGCUUAGAGUCUGCAUUUGGGGUGUGGUGUCUCCCACCUGCCCCCAUAAGAUCUGCUCUGUCCACAAUGCCAUGACCCAGCUGGGGACUUCCCUCAGGUCUGCCUAAGUCCAGGCUCAGGUCAGGUCAGGCGCACAUUGGAGGGGUAAGACCAGGACUGGCAGAGAGAGCUUGUCUUUCCAUUCUCCCUCCCCGGCCAUGCCUUCUUGCCUUUGGAAAAAUGAUAGAAAACCUUGGCUCCUUCCUUGUCUAGAAAGGGUUACUUGCCUAUGGGUUCUGGUGGCUAGACAGAAGAGUAGGCAACAGAGUGCAUGUGGGUGUCUAAAACAGAGGGGAGUAGGAACAGGGCAGAUAGCUGAAGGUGACUGAGUCCAGCCAGUCCCCUGGAGAAGGGGCUGGGAGUGGGGUAAAGUAGUACUACUGCUAUUUUUCUUUUCUUUCUCUCUCUCGAUUUUUUUUUUUUAUGUAACCAAUACAGUGAAUAAGCAGGACCCAUGGAAGUUAAUAGAAGGAAACUUUAUUUUUGGGUCCUACUGUGGCUUUACGAUCUGUCUGGUGGAAGAAAUUCCUUCCCUACCCCUGGAAGAUUUUUUCUUUUUCUUUUUUUUGAAGAAAGAGAAAGAAAAAGAGGGAAAAAGAGAAAAAAAAAAAGAGGGAAAAAGAAAUAUUACUUCAUUCCUAAAAUGGGUAUCAAUAAUGGCCGAUCAAUAUUUUGUGUGUUUAAAGUGGAUAAUGUAUAUUUUGUGUGUUUAAAAUGGAGAGCUCUAUUGAGUUUAUUUGUUCUGGAUCUGAGUUCAAGUCCUGGAUAUCGUUAUCAAUUUUCUGUCUCGUUGAAUCUAAAUCUCAUUAUGGGUCUCAUGUAUCUGGGUGUUAAGAUCUCUUAUUAUUACAUUAAUCCUUUUACCCUUGUAUCCUUGUAGCUUUGAAAUCUAUUUUAUUAAUUGUGAGAAUUGCAACUCCUGCUUUUUAUUUAUUUAUUUUUUCUCUCUGUUUAAUUGGUAAGUUUUUCCCCAACCCUUUAUUCUGAGUCUUUGUAUAUCUUUAGAUAUACCGUUAGAUUUUGUCUGUGUCUUUUGAUUGGGGGAUUUAGUCUAUUUAAAUUUAGGAUUAUUGCCAUUUGAUAUUAACUGGCUAUUUUAUCCUUUCGUUGAUGUAAAUUCUUCUUUAUGUUAAUACUCUUUACUUUUUGGUGUAUCUUUAGAAAGGCUCAUACUGGUUGUUUCUUUCUAUGUAUAAUGCUUCUUUUAGAAGUUCUUGUAAAGCAGGCCUGGUGGUAAUAAAAUCUCUGAGUACUUGCUUGUUCCUAAAAGAUUUUAUUUUUCCUUCAAUUGUAAAGCUUAAAUUGGCAGGAUAUGAAAUUCUGGGCUGAAAGUUCUGUUCUUUAAGUAUAUUGAAUAUUGGCCCUCACUCUCUUCUAGCUUGUAGGGUUUCCGCUGAGAGAUCUGCUGUAAGCCUAAUAGGCUUCCCUUUAUGGGUAACCUGAUCUUUCCCUCUGGCUGCCCUUAAUAUUUUCUCCUUCGUUUCGAUCCUGGUGAAUCUAACGAUUAUGUGCCUUGGGGUUGGUCUUCUUGAGGAAUAUCUUUGUGGUGUUCUCUGUAUUGCCUGGGGUUGAAUAGUGUCCUGCUUUGCUAAAUUAGGAAAAUUUUCCUGGAUAAUAUCCUGAAGAAUAUUUUCCAGCUUGAAUUCAUUCUCUCCAUCACAUUCAGGUACACCAAUCAAGCGUAUAUUAGGUCUUUUCACAUAGUCCCAUAUGGCUUGGGGACUUUGCUCAUUCCUUUUUAUCCUUUUUUCUCUAUUCUUGCCUUGUCGUUUUAUUUCAUUGAGUUGGUCUUCGACCUCUGAUAUCCUUUCUUCUGCUUGAUCCAUUCAGCUAUUUAAGCUUGUACAUAUUUCACUAAGUUCUUGUGUUGUAUUUUUCAACUCCAUAAGUUCAUUUGUAUUCCUCUGUAUAUUGUCUAUUCUUUUCAUAAUUUCAUCGAACCUUUUUUCAAAGUUCUUAGUUUCUUUACAAUGGGUUAGAACAAGUUCCUUUAACUCCCAGAAGUUUCUCAUCAUCCACCUUUUAAAGCCUAUUUCAGAUAAUGGAACACAGUCUUUUUCCAUCAGGACUUGUUCUGCUGCUGAUGAGUCCUUUUCCACCAGGGCUUGUUCCGUUGCUGAUGGGUUCUGAUUUUGAGUAUACUCGGCCUUCUUAGGCUGUUUUUUUCCCUUCAUUGUAGAUGAACCGCCUUUCUAAUUAGGUUUCUGAGUCGACGUCUGAUUUAUUGAUUCCCAGUGCUGGGAUCCGAGCAACCCACUGUGGCGGCCUAAAUAGCAGUGAUAAAACUGAUGGUGCUCUUCUGCCCGGGAAUCUCUGGUCUGGCUUCCCUCUUGAGUCCGCAACAAGUGGCUCUGACUUCCCGGAGCUCCAAACUCCGGUCAGUAGGGGUAGCAGUCCCGUUUGCUCUGCAUCAAGAGCUGCUGCGCCGAGGUGCCGGCAAAACCGCUGCGGCGGCCACAAGAGUCGCGCUGGCGACCCGUGGGGCUCCUCCACUGGGAAUCGGCUGAUCCGUGAGUGACGAAAAUUUGUCUAAAAGUGUGGCGUCGUCUCGUUCUCUGAGCUUUCACUGGGAGCUACAAUCCUGAGCUGUUAGUGGUCGGCCAUCUUGGAUCGGUCUCCUCUCGACACUACCUCACUGACAGACUAGGUGGAAACUCUCACUGAAGCCAGGAAGGAAGUCACAGUGAAGCUGGCCUCCAUCCUGGCCCCCUCUCCCAGUCUCAUCCCACCAUGCGGUUGGAGUCCUAGUUCCAGCUGAAGGCAACCCUUGAAAACUGUGCUUGGGGGCGUCGGGAGUGAUGGGCAGGUACACACUCUGCUACUGUUGCCUGAUAGAAUCACCAGCAUUGCAGAGGAUUCUCAGCCUCUUCUCCUCUCCAGGGCCACCUGAUGAUGGCACUCUUUUGCUGGCCUUAUUUCAUCAGAUUUUUACAAAACCCUGGUCCACAGGCAGGCCAGGCUAUAGCCCUCUCCCUGCCCGACAGAGGGAGAAACCAAGGCUGAAAUUCACAUCAGCAAAGAGAAAGAGCUGGGGUUGACAGCCAGGUCUUCUGACUUAGUCCAGGACUCUUUCUGAGGUAGGAAACGUCCCUGUGUACUCAUCCCUAAAACAACCGUGGCAAAAUUAUUGUCAGGCUACAUCUCUGCCAAAGUGUCUGAACACUAGAAACUGCCCAUUUUAAUUGGGAACAUGGUCUCAUCUGGCUGCAGUCUACAUGGCCCUGCUAUUCAAAUAUUUAAAAAUAUAGGUGAUUUUUUUUCACUUAUGAAAGUCAUAGUGCUUAUUAUAAAAAUAGGUGCUUAGAAUGGAUUUGUAGAUUUUUGUGCUUUGGAAGGAAGGCCUUUAGUCCAUUCUUGGAGGAAAGGUGAUCUCAUCUUAAAUCAAUGAAUGUUCUUGGGGGAGGGUGAUGCCAAGGCCUAAUACUGUGUUUCUAGGAAAGGGUGGGCCCAUCUCAUUCUCUGGGUCAAGGUCCCAGGUCCCAGUGGUAUUGUGUUUCUAGGGCACAACGGGCCCAUCUCACUCUUCAGAAGGGUAAACAAGACCCAGUGGCUUGGCAGGUCUCACCCCUGCCAGCAGGCUGACAAGCCUUCUUAAACAGAAUGAGAGCUUUUGUAUGAAAGAGCUGGGUGGGGUGGCUGUGCUACAGUGGGGAAUGGAUCCCUCAGUGAUGUCUCAGCUGCUCAGGAGCCCAUCGUGGAGAGGGUCUAACGGCGGGUUUGCUGUCCUCAGAGUGCCCCAAUGACAGGACCGACCGAGGGAAGGAGCCCUCUGGGGAAGCAUUCCAAUCACCAGGGGUCAUGCUAGACCAAACUCCUUCCCCUGCCCCCACUCCUGUGCCAGGGCCAAGUAAACCUGCUAGGGUGCUCUAGUGGAGGUGAGAGCUCCCUGGAACCCAGAAGGCCCAGCAAGGUAUGAGGAGGUGACGCUCUGCAGGGGCUCUGCUCUUCACACCUCCCUCAACACUCAGGGACACUCAAAAGGCCCAGUAUGGCUGGGCCAGCAUGGCUGGGAGUGAUGGCUGGAAUCCCAUUUCCAUAUCUGGAGUCCAGACAGCAACUGUCAGUGCUCCCUGAGCCAGGAGCUGAGAGGAUGAGACAUCUGUCUGACAAAAUACAGAAGAGUUGCCAGGAUCCCUGCCAGCAUCUCUUAUCUCAGGAGGCGCAGCUAAGAGCACUGAGUCCCAGUCUCCAGCACGCUCUUCCACCCCAGGCCUCCCUGAAGAUGGGAGGGAGAGUGGCUGCUGCUCUCCUUAUCACUCAGGAAUCCAAUGACAAGGCACUCCACCUUUCUUAUUCCCUUAGUCAGUAGCAUCUUGUAGCACCUAAAACUGGUCGUAGCCACCUAGGAUUUUGAAAGCCAGAUACUUGCCGUGCUGAUAAGAUGUUUAUCAGUGGAAAGGGUAAGUGCUGGUAUCAUCAGAGCAUGUGGGUGGAGGCAGGCAGCAGCCCAGAAAAUUCAGAGCUCCUUGAGGGGGUGGGUACAGGGCCUGUGUCCUCCAGGCUCCCCUGCUCGGGGCAUAAGUGGGAUCGAACAGCAUUCAUUUGGCCCUGCGGACAUGAUCAAUGUCCAGUAGUCUCUUGGCUGCUCCCUUUCAUGGUUCACAGUAAGCCAGGCUUCUCCCUACUCUUGUGAGGCAAGGUGAUGGCUUGUGAUUGAAUCUUGACUGGUGUUUUGCGAGGAUUGCAUGCAUUUGUGUUAAAUUAAGUUGAAUUCAAUAACACGUAAGCCACAUGUGGUAGGAGAAUAAUGGCUCCCCAAAGUUGUCCGUGUCCUAAUCCCCAGAAUCUGCAAAUAUGUUAGGUUCAAUGGAAAAGGGGAAUUAAGCUUCCAGAUGAAAUUGAGGUUGCCAACCAACUGACUUUAAGAUCAAAAGAUUAUCCUGGAUUAUCCAGGCAGACCCAAUGUAAUCACAGGGGUCCUUAAAUGUAGAAGAGGAAGGCAGAAGAGAAGUCAGAGUGGUGCAGUGAGAAGGUCUCAACCUUCCGUUGCUGAUUUUGAAGACGGACAAAUGGGCCACAGACCAAAGAAUAUGGGGAUGUUGGUUACUUUAGAACCUGAAAAAGGCAAGAAACAGAUUCACCUCUGUGGCCUCCAUAAAGUCCUAAGAUCUUGAUGUAGCUUAGUGAGUCCCAUGUUGGACUUCUAACUUACAGAGCUGUAAGAUGCUAAAGCUGUGUUGUUUUAAGCCCCAGUGUCUGUGGUAAUUUGUUAUAGCAGCAUUAGCAUUAGCAGCAUUAGUUACAUGGCGCAUCAGCUAAUCUUCAGAAGCAGCUCCCCAGGCUUGAAGAAUGGUUCAGAGUUUUUAGAACUUUGCUCUAAACAAGGCAACCACUCUUGCUCCAUUUUUAAGUUUCUCCAAAUUUUGAGUUUCAAAAGAAAGACAUGCACUUAAAGUUUCUGGAGGCCACAGAGAUGAAUCUGUUUCCUUACCUUUUUCAGAUUCUAGAAGUAGCCAACAGUCCCACAUUCCCAAGGUGGGAAACAAGCAUGAUAAAGUGUUCUCUUUCUUCAGUCACCACGUUUGCCCAUCCUGUAAUGACCGUCUUAAGUAUAUUCCAUAAUAAACAAUCACAUUCA
Callithrix jacchus (white-tufted-ear marmoset) is the source of this 8045-nucleotide non-coding RNA. Lineage: Eukaryota; Metazoa; Chordata; Mammalia; Primates; Cebidae. The record is from RefSeq and is a predicted model, not a curated record.